GCUGAAUUGUUUGGGACUUGGGGUUUGCAUCCUGGGUAACAAUAAGCUCUAAUAAACCUGUAUUGUAAAAAGGAGGGCCAGCCUCUCACAUUUUUUGAUGGUUAUUAAUGUGAGAGUUUCCAGAGGUGGGUGGGUCAUCGGCAGCAGAGGACACAUGCAAGUAUUUGCCAAAUUCUAGUACUACCCCAAACAUUAUUCAUACUCAUAAAACUGAAUUAAAGCACAAGGAUUCAGGCUGUUCUUUUAAUAGAUAUGGAAUCUCAUAAUUGAAGAUUAAAUUGGAUUUUAUUUAAAGAUUUUCUGCUGAAGGUCAAAUUAAGACUAAAAAGAAAUCUUGAAUGGUCCUGGUUUUUCAGUAAAACAGCACAGAACAGCCCUGCUUAGUCAUCAGCUGUGGAAAAACGAGCACUGCUGUGCAACACUGUGUCGUGUUUCCCUUUUCUUUUCUCAUGCUAACACCACACAGUUUAAUAUGAGAUGAUACUGUGUAAAAUUCAUUUGUUACCCCUGUCACAGGCAUUCCCCAAUGCAGCAAGAAUCAAAUGGAUUGAAGACCAUUAAAAUAUAAUGAAAAAUCUUGUUCUUGUGGGUCCCUGUGGUGGUGAAACCAAAGCCCAGGCAGUCUGAUCUGAAGAGAAUCCUCUAUGAUACUGUCACACUACACUGGUUCUGAUUCAUCACUGGAGAUCACUCCUUAAAACAGCCUUGUAAGAAUGCAAUGAUUUGAACCAAAUGUUGAAAUAUGGGAACGUCUGAGUCCAUUGAAGCUCCCAGUGGUGAGGGAAGCGAGACUCGGUAGAGCAGCAAUGAUUACAAUGUAUAGAUUUAAGGAUAUAUUGGAUCAGGAAGCAGUGUAGGAAACCUGUUGAAACCAAAGACAACAACAUCUAAGAUGCCCUCUUUGUUUCUGAUCAUCAAAACAAUCAUAAUAACUCUUCUAAAGCAAAAUGCACUGAGUGGAAUAGAGUUUCUUUCUUGUUAAAAUUUUCCUUUUGACUAAAAGUGGAUAACUGCAGGACGUAGUGGUAAAACAAAUAUUUACAGCAGCAUAAAGCACACAAAUGCAGUUAUGAUGUCGGAAUGACAGAGGACUCUGUGAUAUAAAGGAAGGAAAGGAAAGAAUAAAUCCAUAACAAAGGUGAAAUACAUACCAUCAUUACCAUGAAACCAGUGAAUCCUCAUCCUCAUUAUCUUCUCAAAUUAAGUUGGAAAUGCUGAGUCUUUCUCUAAGAGCUGGAUUGGAAAGUGUCUCAGAAGUAGAAGGGAACUGUGCGCUUCAAAUGGGAAUAGUAACUCAUUCAACCCCUGUGAACUUCAGAGGACAGGAGCUGAGCAUCAGUGCUUAUGUGUUCCCAAAAGAGCUGAGGUUUCAGUUUUACUUACAGGUAGAGGGACUCUGUAGAUUAAAUGGAGUUCGGUGAUUCAUUCCACCACAGGGGGACAUCAGAGGAGAAGAGUCUGGCUCACGACAUGAGGCCCUAUCAUCAUUAGCAGGAUGCAGUUGGGAGGUGGGAGUGAAGACCUGCUUGAGGGAUACCAGGUGGGCUGAGCUUUGUUUAUAAGAGGUUUGGUUUUAGGGGUUCAUGGUGCUUAAUAGGGAACAAAAAUGCAAAUACCACAGUAACAAGUCCAUGGUAGGAUUUUUACUUUAACAUAUGAAGAGGGGACAAUGAAAUCUCCAUUGAAAAUUAUAUUUAUACAACAUGGAGAACACUGCUUACUGGACGCUCUGUGUAACUUUAGCCUUUGUCUCUCUCUAGAGUUCAUAUCAGGAAGUUAAAAAGGUUAUUAUUCCAUAUGUAGAAUUAAUCUUAUAAAAGGAAAAAAAAACAAUGUUGUCUAUUUUAAAACAAGAGGCAGAGAGGCUACAGUUGACAUUUUUUCCCUUAUAUCUACAAGCUCAUAAAUCAAAGACAUCAAUAUACUGUAGCUACGUAUGUGAAUACAUGCAGCAUUCCUGAUCAAAUAAACAUAAUCAACAACAGACACUCUAUUUCAUCAGGACAUCCAUUUCUCAAAUGUGACUGAUAGAAUACAUAAAUGUCUUUACUUUUCUUAAGUGUGUGCUCUCAAGUGUUACAGUGCAGGCUCUGUGUGCAUGUAUUUAUAGCAUUAUGACAUUAUGCAGUGUGUAUUCAUACAUAUGCAAGUGCCCAUGUCUAUGGCUGUCUCCAGCUUCUCCAGAUCCACCAGCGGUAUUAAGAUCAGCCUUUCCGUAAGCUGUCAGGGCGGGACAGAUUUUAGCAAGAGAGGAAAUCAGGGAUGGUAUAACGAAGGGGGAAAGAGGUCACGUUUGUCAGAGCAGGAUGAGGUUGUGAAUAUUGUCAUGCAAAAAGCAUGUGACACUUCUUAACGGGCAAAAGGAUAGAGAGAGGAAUGGAUGGCAAGCCAAGUGAGCGAUUGUCAAGGCGGGUGAGGGAGAGGGAGUGGCAGGUUUUAGCUGGAGCAUGUCUAAGUGAAGGGGGCAAGGCCGGAUGUCUUUCAUUUUGAGUCAAGUUUAACCCAGUGUGUCAUGAGAGUUUAUCAAGUACACACACACAGUCUCAUGAAAAACCUUCCUUUGAAGAAAUUUUCUAUCAGUACAAAAUGUUACUCUGGAUCAACUAAAAAAUAUUACUCUAAUUUGUUACAGAUGUUUUCAUUCUUUAUUCUCAUAUUUUUAUUCUUCCCUGUCCAAAAUUUAAUUUGAUUUGACCCAAAGUUGGAUUUGAUAAAUCAAAAUUAUUCAUUAGUCAAAGUUAAAGAAAUUACCUCAACAGAAAGCACAAGUAUCUCUUGUUAAAAGGGACAAUAUUACUUCCUUUGAAAUAAGAUUUAGGAUUACAUGUUAUUUUUUAGUUUGAACCAAAAAAAGGAAAUACUUUAGUUAGAGUCAAUAUAUAUAAAUUCUACCAACUACAGUUAUCAAUUAUAAAUAGUUACAAGAUUUCUCCUCAGACAGAAACAGUUUUUCCAACUUCUUCAACAUGAAUAAAACACUGUAGUUAUAAUGACACUUAGAAUAUAUUAUUGCACUAACUAGAGGUAGCAUGUGCUUUAUAUGAGCACGGAAAAGAGGAAAACUACCAGAAUAAGGCUCAAAGGUGGAUUACAUUCUUUGUUUUAAAUCUUAGGUUGACUCUGUAUUUUUUUUUUAUUAUGAAAAAAUUAACAAGCUUGUUUGACAAUAUCUUCCUCAAAAACAUGGAUGGACUGUUUGACACAAAGCUUUACUAAAAUAUAAAAAUCUGUUACAUUGCUAAAACUUGUCUAUCACUUGGAGAAAACCUGUAUGCCACAAUUUUUCAAACAUUAUAAAAGGGAGAACAAGGACAUUUACACAGAAGAAUACAGCUCAGUGUUCAAUGUCCAAUGUAUAAAUAACAACAACAACAACAACAACAAUAAUAAUAAUAAACUUUUGAAUUUAAUCAACUUUGAUGAAUUUCCGGCCUACUGAAUACUGCACAGUUUUGGCUUAAAUGAAUGCAAAACACCUUGACUGGAGAGUAACAGUUGAAUUUCUAAAAAAAUCACUUUUGACCUUAAAAAAAGAAGAACAACAAAAAGAGUGCAUGCAAAUGUUAGCACAUAACAGCAUAUAUUUGACACUCAACACUGAGUCUAGUUCUGUGUUUCCCCAUAGCUAUGUUGGUAUUCUGUGCCACCAAGCCAACAAAUCAUUGACAACUGACACAGGUCCAACUUUGACUAAAUUUGGGGAAAAAAUGUCAUCACAAUUAUUCAUAGAAAAUAACAAUUCUAAAACAACAGUAGCAAAAUAUAUACUCUUGCUUGGUUUGGCUCUUUUUUGCAGGAAUCUUAUGGUAGGUGAUAUCAGUUUGUGCAAGACAUUAAUGACCUAUUGAAGAAACAAUUACUUGCCUUAUCCACUGUGAGGAGAGCAGGCUAUCUCUCUUUUAACUCCUUGACUCCUGAUUCCUUCUCAACAAUUUCUUGUCUUGGCAGAGAUAAGGUCUUGGCCAUUUUUUCCUUAAUCACUCUUCGAUUGAUUCACUUCCUCACCUCACUUAGAAGUAACAGUCUCUCCCCUUCCAGCUUGUCUAAGGUCUCUCCAGUUGGAGUUUCAGGAAUGUGGUUGGCUUCUCCUCUCCUGGGUCCCUUUACUUUUUCUGCUGUCUGUGCGUCAUCUGGUGCUUUGGACUCGAGUGCAUUUGCAAGUACUUCAGAGCAGCCAAUACCUUUUAGUCGAGCUCGAUAAUUGCCUAUUUUUGUCUUAAGCUGCCGUUUCCAUCCAGAACAACCAUUUUACGAACCAGGCUCAGAAAGGCAUGGGUGCCUUUUAGCAAGUGCUUCGGCAACAUUAGCAAAGUCACCAUCAGUUGGUAGACUUUGAACUUCAAUAUCUCUUCUGCUACCUUGUGCAGAAUAUCAGACUUGGUUUUUGUACUUCAUGUAAACCUUGUCCUGUUUGAUCUGUACACUGCAUUUCCCUUUUUCAACUGUAGUUCAGUGUUGUAGGCAGAUGCUGGUAUUGGAAACUGCGUUGGCCAUAUCUGAGUCCUUGAAGAGAUGGAGCUGGAGAGUGUGGACAAGAGCUCUGUGUCUUCUAAAUCAACAACAGUAAGAUUUAAGUUUUGACUGGAAUCCUCGGUAAGUGGAAUGGUCUUGAUAGUCGCUAAAUCCUCAAGUCCUGCUAUGGAUGUUAAGUUCAUUAGCUCACAUCCGAAGUCUCUGUCUUGGUAAUGCAAUCGCAUAUUCCCACCGAAUCCAAACACUUCCUUAACUUUAUUUAUAAGUUCAUCCGUUGUGUCUGGGGUUCUAUCAGGCAGAAUUAGCUUCCUGGUGUCAUCUGGAUUUAGAGCUUGGCUGGUCUUCUCACUGACAUGUCAGCUCAUUGGAAAAAAUCUGUAAGAAACAAAAAUAUAACAGUAUUAGUUGUAAUUCAAAGAUGGUCAUAAUUUAUAAAUAAUUAAGCCUUGAAUUAUUUUUUUACAAUUCUCCCCUUCGAUAUACUCAUGGAAAGAUGAAGAAAGUUAUUUUUGAAAAUACUUGAUGAUCCUUCAACUGAAUUUCAAAACCUGACUUUCUUAACUCAUUUUUUGUUGAUUUAUGUUUUUUUUUUAUUUACAUGUAACAUCUCUGGACAAAAUAAAAUGAUGCCAACUAAGCAACUUUGUUGCUAUACUUACAAAUUCAGCAACUUUUCCAGGGUUUGGGGACCCUGACGUGAAAGCACAAACCAAUCUUCCUCUACUCAAUGAGCAGCAGGUGCUGCCGUGGAAUCCUCCCCCGUAAUAGGUACUUUGAAUGAAUAACACCCAUGUUUCACUUAUUUCAGGGUCAUGGCUCCACAUUAAACAGUUGUUGAAGUCUCUGUAACACUUUGUACAACCUUCAGGAUCAUUCCAGGCAUAGCCACAGGUGUACAGGCAUGCUUUAAUUAUGAGCUGCAGGAGGAAAGAAUCAGGAAAGCUCAAAUGCAAAACCUUGGCAAUGUGCAGGACCACCAAAAGCUCAGUUUCAUUCUGACAUUGAUGUAAGUCUCUGAGUUCAUAUCGGACAUAAUUUUUACUUGACUCAAAGUUGCUUUUUCAUUUAAUAACCCAAGUGUAAAAAUGCAUUAUAUCUUUGAACUAAGGUUCUGUUGCAUGUACAGGAGAGAAGAGAGUGUCAAUUCAGAGAGCAUGUUUGAGAAAUGAGCUUGUCCAUUUCACGUUCAGUAACUGAAAAGAGCUCUGUACCAUGCUUUAAGGGACAGUCAAGUGGGCUAAUGGCACUUCUUUACCUGCCACUACAAACAAUGUCAACCUCCAUAGCCUCCUCUAAAGAUCUAUUCUUGGAGCAGCUAUCAAUAAUAAAAGAUCCCCUCCUUCUGGGCAGUCUCCCCUAUAUUCCAACAACUUUUUACAUACAUCUCUGAUUCAGCUAGGACGUAAGAAUACAUUAUUAGCACUCUGUAACAGAAGAGAGAGGUGUCGGCAGCACAUGAAAAGUAAGAAUAAUCUCCACAUUCAAAAACGUACUUGAGAGUGACAUGACCAGAAACAGGUCGUGAUCUGACACUGAGCUGACAAUGAGGAACAAAUCUGUGCUUUAGAGAAGGAGGACAGACUGGUGUGUGAGUAACACGUUUUCCAGCUCAGGGAAAGAAAAUGACUAUGUUUUACACAAACGCUGAUACAAUACUGAGAGCAGCUUUAGUUUUCUCUUCUUCAUUCAAUGAGGUUAGUUUUUAGUAAAAAAAAAACCCUUUUCAUUUCUUGCCUCUUCUUCAAGCAUAGAAGAAAGUCCCUGACCAAAAGCUUGUUUGUACAACUCUGGGGCUCUUAUUUCUAGUCCUGACUCCCUAUCUGCUGAACAUUUAUUGUUUCAUGUUAAAAUUAUUAUUAUUUCUGAAAUAACAAACCAUGACCCUUGGCUCAUCAUUUUCUGCACAAAUAGGUUUAUUUUUCACUCAAGACAGAAAAAAAAUAGUUUAACUAUUUUGCUCACAGUAGCUAGCCUGUGUUGGUAAGCCGGUGUGAAUUCACAGAAUAGGCUUGUUUAUACAUCAUCUUCUUAAUAGUCUCCAAAUUAACUGUUCAAAAGCUGUUGGAUUUGUUGGCGCAAAUCCUUUAUGGAGGGAAAACUAAACUUUGUCAACAGGACACUAAAGUUGACAGAGAGAGGACUUAGAGCUGGACACCAUAACAAAGGAUGUCUUGAUUGUGACUUAAGGAUAAAUGGAUGCGAACAAACACAUGAGACACAUUAAAAAGUCACAUCAUGAAGGAGGCAAAUGGGUGAUUUGGCUUCUUGUUCAUCUUUGGUACUUGCCAUAAUAGUUGUGUUAUCUGGGUAUUUCUGUAAGUGACAGAACUCAGUGCUAUAUUAGAAGUCUGAUAUAUACAGUGUGAACAAGACUGGAACUAGGACUAUCCUUUGUGGAGCCCCUGUACUGUUCAUAAUGUCCCAGAAACUGUGGCCUUCCUGUCAGGUAAUCUGUAAUCCAGGGCACAGUGAAGCAUGUAGAGGACACAGUUGAGACAGUUCUGCAGCAAAGUCUUUAAGCAGCCUUGGACACACACCGUCUGGGCCAGCUGCCUUCCAGGACAAAGUCUUCCAAGCUCCAACCUGACAGGAGAUUACCCAAAAGACUAUUAGCCAAAUACUACAAGACAAUGGAUGCCAAUUUGACCAGUACGUGUUUGAAAAGCUAGCCAGUGUACUCUGUGAGACAAACCCUGGAAAAAAACAAAAACAAUUAGAGAUAAAGAUCCACUUUCCAGUGCUUUGAGGCGGUGAAAAGCUUACCAUAAGAGCCACUUUAAUGUAGCGAAACCAGUGGAAUAUACAGUAUACUUGAUUGAAAGAAUCAUAAGUCAUUUCAAUAUGUUUCUAUUUUAAAACCCUUGCUGCAUAUUCUUGACUGCCACACAAUCUAGGGUCAGACUGUUAAUCGGAAUACUGUAGAUAGUCCGCCUCAGAGAGCUUGAGUGCACUUAUACAAAACUAUCUUUGAUGGCGUCUUCUUCAAUGAAAAUGGACUGUUGUCUAAGCAGGAAAGCAUUUCAUUCAUAUUAUACAUUGAUGAGUUAAAAAAUAUGUUAUCCGCCUGGUACAUCAAGGAGGAGCAUAAAAUUUGUGGUUUAUAGUGGAUUCUGGGUAACUUGCCACCAGGCUGUAAUUCUGCUUUAUCCUCCAUCUAUUUGGCUGCUUUAAUCAAAGGUCAUGAUCUAAAGUGUUAUGGGUAUGAGAAAGUGUUAAAACCUGUAGUUAAGGAUCUUGGAACAGAGUGGGGUAUUUCUGUCAAAGUUGGGCAGAACAGUAAAAGGUACAGUUCAGUGUCUGGUCGCUGCUGACAACCUUGGUGCGCACAGUAAUGCUGAAUUUGCUGAAAAUUUCUCAGGGGCAUACCUAUUUAGAUUUUACACUGCAAAAAGAUCAGAGUUUCAGACUCAAGAAGUCACACACAAAAAAAUACUGGGUUGUUUUUUCAACCCAACCACUAGGUUGAGCCUGUUCGUCAAUUUAUUUGGGUUAUUUUCAUGAAGUUGGACAUUCUGAGUACCCAAUACACAAGGUUAUUUAUGUUGGGAACAAAGUUGAUAGCUGUUGGGUUGUAAUUUCUAUACAGUUUUGUUGGUUUAUUGUGGACUACCCAACACAUUGGGUAGACGUUAGGGCAUUUGAAACCAAGCACCAACCACUCACCAGAUUGAUGCCACAAUUGCUGAAGCGAGGAGACCUACAAAGCAAGGUUUGUUACAUUCCCACGAUUGCUUUACCAUAUAGAUGACUUGAUAUUAUGAUAGAAACCCUCAUUUUGUUGUUAAGAUGCAAGUUUGUAAAGCACUGUUGUGUACCAGCUUCUGCCUUCAGGAAUCAGUUGGUAGGUGAGCAAGCUAAUGGUUAGCCAACAUUAGUAGCAUAAAGUACAUUGCCUCAAGCGUAGCAAGCUAACACCUUAGCUGAUGUGCAGUGUGGUGGUGUGCCUGACGGGUCUCAUGAGUCAAAUGGACACUGUCUGCACGGACACGAGCUGGCUCGAGUGAGUCAUGAGUUAGGUUUGCUUUAGAUUUCGAUGAUUGAAUGUAUGAUGUAUGCGAUGUAUGUAUAUUAUUUUUGUGUCUUCUGUGAUUUUUGAAUUGUAAUAAAUAACUGUUACAUUCUUGCACAAUGAUGAUAAUGUGAUGGUUUACUUUAAUUUAUUAUGUAGUAAUUAAAAUUAAAAUAAUAAUAUUUAAUGAUUAAUGUUAUUUAAUGUUAUGUAAAAUAUUAACAACCCAACAUGCUGGGUUUAAAGAACCCAGCAGAGUAGUUAUUGUGAACCCUUAGUUGGGUUAUAUAAACAACCAAAUUGUUGGGUUAAAGGAACCAACCCAAUUACUCAGGUAAAAUUAACCCAGUAUGUGUUCUGUCCAAUAUUUAACCAGUGCUUGGUUGGGAAACUACCCAUAUUGGGUUGUUUUUAACCCUCAUUUUUGAAUCCUUGAGGAAAACUAAUUGCCCGGUAAUUGGGGUGUGAAAUCAAAGUGUAUUUUUUCAGAGAACCUCUCAUAUCUUGAUGUCACCACCGGGUUUCCACCUGACAUUGUACAUGGUCUUUUUGAAGGAAUUGUUUCUUUUUAGCUCAGUUUGUUAAUCACAAACAAUAUUUCACAUUCUUUACAUUGAAUGAAGUAAAUCAUCUUUCAACUGUAAGUGGGCUGACAAAACAAAUCGACCUCAUCCUGUCGCUCUCAGUUUUAUAUCUAAAAAUCCUUGGGGAAAAUGCACUUGAAAAAUUGAGUCUAAGCAGAUUUUUGCCUUUGUUCAUUGGGCAGAGAGUUCCCUGUGAGGAGUCUGCUUGGCAGAUCUUAGACCUGAAGGAUAUUGUUGAUCUCAUUGUCAGUCCUGUUCAUACUUAGGACUCCAUCGAAUAUCUUGUUUUUUUUUUAAUAUCUCUGAGCACUCAGUUUCAAGAGGGUUUCCCAGAAUGUGAACUUCAACCAAAGCACCAUUUCUUGGAACAUUAUCUAUACUUGAUCCAUAAGUUUCGGGCACUAGUUGCCAUAUGGACUACGUAUGUGUUUUGAUGCAAAGAAUAGCUUUUUUAAAAGAGUUGCAUGGGAUAUCAGAUGCGUCCUCUGAUACCUCUUUACCUGUUUCCACUGUUCACACUGAUGUUCCUAAUGAGGACAUUUCAAAUGUACUAAGACAGAAGUCUCCAGACAUGGACAAUUGUCAUUACAAGGCCCACGCAGGGGACGCACAUUUCUGCACAGCUGCAGUGGUACUAAUCAAAAAGCAUCCAUGUUUGAUACCUGGCUAAUUCAAUGGCUGCUACAUUGGAAACAGCAUCAGAAGUACAGAAACUACAGGACUCAGAUCAAAUUACUGGGGUGUCCAGAGCUGUGUGUUAACUCCUUGAAAUCUAAAGCUACUACAGAUACUUUCCCUGCUAAAAAAGUGAAGAAGCCAAAACUGUCUGAAGCUAAGUUUUAUCUAACCUCUCUGACGGGUAAGACUCUGGUAGCCUGGAAAAAGUGAGACUACAAUUUGUGACAGAGAGCAGGAUGAGGGACGACAAAAGGGUCGAACACGGUAGUAAACCAAGAACCAAGCAUUCAGGACGUCAAGGACAGAUGGCCUGCACUCUUUAUACAGAAGGAGGUAAGAAUGGAACUAAAAUGAUCAAAGUCUGCAUGCUUCAGGAUUUACUUCAGUGAGCCUUCGUGAAUUGGUCACAACCUAUGGUUGAGUUCUAGAGGCUGUUCCAUGGUUGUUCCUCUUGAGGAGAAGUUUAUGGCCUAGUUAGAUAUGCACUCAAGUCAGCUGAUCAAAGUUAUCCGUGCCAGAGGAGGAGCAACACUCAUCAUGUGAACUGUGAACAUCAUGGAUGCAUUGGACCAGGCAGAUCUGUACCAUAAAACAAAACACUCCGAUAUGACUCGCCGUUUUGGUUACUAACGUGUGUUUUAAGGACAUUCAUUAUUUUUAUCAUCAUUAUUUUGAGUUGAUGGUCACAUUUUUAAAGAUUGAGGCAUCAAAUUUGGCGGGAAGUCUUAUUUUUCAUCAUAUUAAAAGAAAAAAAACGUGCUGCCCAUGGACC
Non-coding RNA from Xyrichtys novacula (pearly razorfish), 10516 nucleotides. The record is from the annotation of a GenBank genome assembly. Lineage: Eukaryota; Metazoa; Chordata; Actinopteri; Labriformes; Labridae.